GCGGCGCAUACCUUCGUCUCUCUCAAACCAAAUCCCUAAUCUCCAUCCUUCGCGUCUUCAAUCCGUAGCCACAGCCACCCACCCCAGUCGCUAGUCCCACAGCCACCCACCGGCCACCCACCCUGCCACCCUUCGCGUCUCUCUCUCACGGCCAUCGCUCGCGUCUCUCUCUCUCAUAGCCGUCGCUCGCGAGACUCUUUUCACUGCUGUAGAACAAAACUUGAAUCGUCAUCUCGUUGGACAGUGUAAGGAGAUACAAACACAGAAGGUGAUUCACAACACCUAGCACAGAUUCACAGAAGGAGAUACAGACAAACCUAGCACAGGUGAUUCACAACACUCUAAAUACUCAAAGAAGGUUCAGUUGCUCAGUCUCACCGUGUUGGUAGAGCUCAGGUUUUUUUUUUUUUAAGAAAAUUUUUUGGUGAGUAAUUUCUGGGUUCUUUCUAGGAUGAAAUUUGGUUGCUGUAAGUGUUUGAAUUAUGCUUUUUUGGGUUUUGUUUCGAGUGUUUUGGUAUUGUGUUUCUGGUAAAUUUUGUUGCUACUUUGAUCUGUUAGUGUUUUGCUGAUUUCUUUUUUCCUUUAGUUUUAGUGCUACAGUUCAUUUGAUGGAUUUACUGCUUGUGGAACUCCAUCUUGUUUAUGUUAUUUGAUUUUUUAUGCUAAACGAGUGGUGCCAAGAAUUAUUUUAGAGAUCUGCUCUUAGUUUUGGGAGCUUCUGUUUCCGAGUUUCUUGUAAUUAUAUUUUUCUUUUCUAUCAUAAUUGUCAGGUUGUACCAGAACUUGGAAAAGUUUGGUGCCCAUGCAAGUGCAUAACACAUUAAUAGGCUAGGUCAAAAUUGUCUAGAUGUUUGUGUUUUUUUGCAGAAUGUAAAACUGGAACCUCUUAGGUUUAAUCAUUUGAAUUUUAUUUGGAGCCAUACAAUCACGACCAAUUUAUUUGGGCAAAAAGUGAAGCUUUACGUUAUUCAAUCAUAAUAAGAAAUCUGAUGAGCCAUAUCUCAUUAUGUGUUAGUAUUCCCUAGAAAUAGGCCAUUUAGUCAGAAGUGGUCUUAGUAAAACAUGCACGGAAGAGACAGAAAGAUUUCUUGUUUUAUUGCUUCUAUAUAUUUUAGCCUUCAGGUUGUCCAGUUAUGUUUCAUGAUAAUGAUUUGCUUGUUCAAAUAUUUACCUUUUUCUU
Molecule: long non-coding RNA, 1180 nt
Organism: Manihot esculenta (cassava)
Lineage: Eukaryota; Viridiplantae; Streptophyta; Magnoliopsida; Malpighiales; Euphorbiaceae
Exons: 2
Source: RefSeq, a predicted model, not a curated record